Molecule: ribosomal RNA, 579 nt
Filed under: Plumularia strictocarpa
Lineage: Eukaryota; Metazoa; Cnidaria; Hydrozoa; Leptothecata; Plumulariidae
Description: partial 16S ribosomal RNA
Rfam family: Bacterial large subunit ribosomal RNA
Source: RNAcentral
AGCCUUAAUAAUAAUUUUAGGUGAUGCCUGCCCAAUGAUCAUAAACAAAAUUUUGUGAUAAAAAAUAUUACUUUUCAAUGGCCGCAGUAUUCUUGACUGUGUUAAGGUAGCACAAUCAAUCGCCGCUUAAUUGGCGGAUAGUAUGAAUGGUAAUACGAAAAUUUCACUGUCUCAAAUGUAGGAUUAAAAAAAUUGAAAUAAUAGUUAAGAUGCUAUUUAAAAUUGUAAGACGAUAAGACCCUAUAAAGCUUUACUACUACCUUCAAUGUUAAAAUAAUUUUGAGGGAAAGGUAGUUUACUUGGGGCAAGGGCUUUUUAGAAAAAAAGAAAGCAUGCAAUAUGAAUAAAACAUUUAUUGUACAAACUAUGGUUUUAACAAUCACAAAGUGGGCUAUAAUGACCCGUUUAUCCUUAAAAAACAGAUAAACAACUAUUACAUAAAAGCUACUUUAGGGAUAACAGGAUAAUUUUGUCAAAGAGUUCAUAUCACUGAUAAAGUUUGUCACCUCGAUGUUGAAUUAAGAUACCCUAGCGGAGCAAAGCUGCUAAAGGUAGGUCUGUUCGACCUUUAAAUAUCUU